This 469-nucleotide ribosomal RNA is filed under the name Hua sp. m RH-2021. RNAcentral's name for it is "partial large subunit ribosomal RNA". It matches the Rfam family "Bacterial large subunit ribosomal RNA", at positions 1919 to 2607 of the family's 2925-position model. Lineage: Eukaryota; Metazoa; Mollusca; Gastropoda; Semisulcospiridae. The record is from RNAcentral.
AUUUUUUAACGGCCGCGGUACUCUGACCGUGCAAAGGUAGCAUAAUCAUUUGCCUUAUAAUUGAAGGCUAGUAUGAAUGGUUUGACGAAAGCAACGCUGUCUCUUUUUUAUUCUCAAGAACUUAACUUUUAGGUGAAGAGGCCUAAAUUUUAUUGAAGGACAAGAAGACCCUGUCGAGCUUAAAAGACAUUAUAGAAGUCUAUAUAUCUUUAAAUAAAUUUCCUAUUAAGCUUUUUAGUUGGGGCGACUGAGGAACAAAAAAAGCUUCUUAUUAUUAAUAAACAGUUAUGUUUAGAUCCGAUAACAAUCGAUUAAAAAAAUUAGUUACCGCAGGGAUAACAGCAUAAUCUCUCUUGAGAGACCUAAUCGAAAGAGGGGGUUGUGACCUCGAUGUUGGACUAGAAUAUCCCAAAGAUGCAGAAGUCUUUAAGGGUUGGUCUGUUCGACCAUUAAAAUUCUACGUGAUCUG